Molecule: non-coding RNA, 164 nt
Filed under: uncultured Ruminococcus sp.
Lineage: Bacteria; Bacillati; Bacillota; Clostridia; Eubacteriales; Oscillospiraceae
Description: Lysine riboswitch
Rfam family: Lysine riboswitch aptamer
About the family: Riboswitches are metabolite binding domains within certain messenger RNAs that serve as precision sensors for their corresponding targets. Allosteric rearrangement of mRNA structure is mediated by ligand binding, and this results in modulation of gene expression. This family includes riboswitches that sense lysine in a number of genes involved in lysine metabolism, including lysC.
Source: RNAcentral
ACAGGUAGAGGUGCGGCUGCGAUGAGUAACAGUGCGGAGAACGACCCGUUCAGCGAAACACUGCAAAAGGCAAUGCUGCCGAGAUACGGUCUGUGGUAAAUUCCGUAUCGGCUGUAUGUUUAACAGAUAUGCGGCUGUCAUCAUAUGUGAUGGAGAGCUAUCGG